GGGUUGCUAGCUCAACUAGGUAGAGCAACGGACUCUUAAUCCGUUGGCUGGGAGUUCGAUUCUCCCGCAACCCA
Molecule: transfer RNA, 74 nt
Filed under: Elusimicrobiota bacterium
Lineage: Bacteria; Pseudomonadati; Elusimicrobiota
Description: Elusimicrobia bacterium (groundwater metagenome) tRNA-Lys
Rfam family: tRNA
About the family: Transfer RNA (tRNA) molecules are approximately 80 nucleotides in length. Their secondary structure includes four short double-helical elements and three loops (D, anti-codon, and T loops).
Source: RNAcentral